Molecule: long non-coding RNA, 279 nt
Organism: Xenia sp. Carnegie-2017
Lineage: Eukaryota; Metazoa; Cnidaria; Anthozoa; Malacalcyonacea; Xeniidae
Exons: 2
Source: RefSeq, a predicted model, not a curated record
AAAAUCUGGAAUAAAUUAUUUCAUAUUUUAGCCAAUCAGAGCAGAGCUCACAAAAAUGGAACCAAUAACAAUGGUGAAAUCUCAUCGAAAUCAACCAAUGAAAUCAGGCCACCAAAUGAUCUUAAUAUACACGUCAAUCACUUUUUACACAGAAGAUGCCCCAAGACAAGACUCAACAAUGAAAGAAAAAGAUGCCAAUUUUCUCUUGACUGUGAGCACUCAUAAAGAAUGCAACCAAAGUCGUAUCCUGAAGUUGAAAUUUGAAACAAAGAUAAAACG